RNAcentral lists this long non-coding RNA (951 nucleotides) under Equus caballus (horse). RNAcentral's name for it is "lncRNA (ENSECAG00000058276.1)". The record is from RNAcentral. Lineage: Eukaryota; Metazoa; Chordata; Mammalia; Perissodactyla; Equidae.
CUCAGGGCUGGGCAGCGCUGCCCCACAGCAUAAGAGGCAGGCCAGGCCAGGGCAGCAGCGGGCACUGCAUGGACCUCUAAGCAAGUGCACACCUGCUUACUGUACUCGAUCUUGCCCCUGAUACCCAGAAGGUCUAAAUUUAGGAACAAGUCAGGGGAGGGAGGAGUUUUUCACACUUUGCACUCGAGCACAAAGUGCUUUGGAAUGUUUAUAUUUGGGUGGAUGCUGUCACUAAGAGUAGGAUAUUAUUUAGAAGCUGAGUUGUGGGCUGAACAAAUGUUUCUUUAAAAACCAAAGCAGUAAGAGGAGAUCUGUUCAAGAGUCACCGUGUAGCUGAAUAGUAGGCGAUAAGAUAAGUGAUCUGAACUGGCGAAACCCUGGGCCGCUGACGAGAAGCAUGUGAAAUUAACCACUCGGCCAUGGGACUGGCCCCAAAAGAACUCUUUUUUUAAAGGUGACUGUUGUCUCCAGUCAAAGAACCACAAGGACAGAAAUGAAUCGCCUUAGCAGAAAGCUAAUGAAGACACUCCAAGUGACAGAAGAUCAAGAAGAGCACAGACUUAAAGUCAGAAGAAAAUUUCCUCUCGUUGCCCUGUUUCUCCCUUAAUGCCUCACAAAUACAGCCUCCUACUUCUAGAGCAAUGUCUUAAGCUUUUUUCCCCCCAAGUUGUAACAUCCUUUAUUGUGGGGUCUUGUCCUAAAGUCUUAUGCUUUGGUACGAGAUGAAGAAAGAUGAAGAAAUAAUGAAGGAAACAAAUUCAAUGUGUUUGCCAAGAACACAUUUCUUUUAAACAACUCCUAAAGGGAUAAUCUAAAACAAUGUAAUAGAUUGUCUUAAUCUAUUCCGCAUAGCUAGUGGGAGUAUAGAAGUGUAUUGCUAACAUUUCAACAUCCAGCAGUAGAGGGCAGGACUGCCCUUCUUUUGCAAAAUGUUUGCGCUCUCAUGAGAAG